This 876-nucleotide ribosomal RNA is filed under the name Triticum aestivum (bread wheat). RNAcentral describes it as "partial small subunit ribosomal RNA". The record is from RNAcentral. Lineage: Eukaryota; Viridiplantae; Streptophyta; Magnoliopsida; Poales; Poaceae.
AUGGCCGGAGGAGAGGAAGGGUGGAGGAGGAGCGGCAUCGAGGUGAGCACCCUGCAGUUCGGCUACGACGGGGAGGCGCCGCUCUUCGCGCGCUUCAACCUCCGCGUCGCCCCCGGCUCGCGCUGCCUCCUCGUCGGCGCCAACGGAUCCGGCAAGACCACUCUCUUGAAGAUUCUUGCAGGAAAACAUAUGGUUGGAGGAAAGGAUGUUGUCCGUGUUCUUAAUGGUUCUGCUUUUCAUGACACACAGUUCGUGUGCAGUGGUGACCUUUCCUACUUGGGUGGUUCGUGGAGUCGGAAUGUCAGUUCAGUUGGUGAUGUUCCACUACAGGGCGAUUUCUCUGCUGAGCACAUGAUAUUUGGAGUUGAUGGAGUUGAUCCUGUUAGGCGAGAGAAGCUGAUUGAUCUACUAGAUAUUGAUCUGCAAUGGCGCAUGCAUAAAGUUUCAGACGGACAGCGCCGCAGGGUACAAAUUUGCAUGGGCCUUCUUCAUCCAUACAAGGUACUCUUACUCGAUGAGAUCACCGUGGAUCUCGAUGUCGUGACCAGGAUGGAUCUCCUCGACUUCUUCAAGGAAGAGUGCGAGCAGAGAGAAGCCACGAUUGUCUACGCCACCCACAUAUUCGACGGGCUGGAGACAUGGGCCACCGACAUCGCGUACAUCCAAGAGGGCGAGCUGAAAAAGUCGGCGAAAUACUCGGACAUCGAAGAGCUGAAGACGGCCAAGAACCUUCUGACGGUCGUGGAGUCAUGGCUGAAGUCCGAGACCAAGCUCCCAAAGAAAGAGCCCGCGCGCGUCGAGAGCCAGCCCAGGCGCUCCUCCCCGUUCGACGCCUCCCCUUUCCGAGCGUCGCGCCACAUGGCCUACUACCGAUGA